This 305-nucleotide ribosomal RNA is filed under the name uncultured bacterium. RNAcentral describes it as "bacterial SSU rRNA". It matches the Rfam family "Bacterial small subunit ribosomal RNA", at positions 337 to 659 of the family's 1533-position model. The record is from RNAcentral.
GCCUACGGGGGGCAGCAGUAGGGAAUAUUGCUCAAUGGGGGAAACCCUGAAGCAGCAACGCCGCGUGGAGGAUGAAGGUUUUCGGAUCGUAAACUCCUUUUGUUAGAGAAGAUAAUGACGGUAUCUAACGAAUAAGCACCGGCUAACUCCGUGCCAGCAGCCGCGGUAAUACGGAGGGUGCAAGCGUUACUCGGAAUCACUGGGCGUAAAGAGCGCGUAGGCGGGAUAGCAAGUCAGAUGUGAAAUCCUAUGGCUUAACCAUAGAACUGCAUUUGAAACUGUUAUUCUAGAGUAUGGGAGAGGAA